Molecule: ribosomal RNA, 269 nt
Filed under: uncultured prokaryote
Description: partial 16S ribosomal RNA
Rfam family: Bacterial small subunit ribosomal RNA
Source: RNAcentral
UACGUAGGUGGCGAGCGUUGUCCGGAUUUACUAGGCGUAAAGGGAGCGUAGGCGGACUUUUAAGUGAGAUGUGAAAUACCCGGGCUCAACUUGGGUGCUGCAUUUCAAACUGGAAGUCUAGAGUGCAGGAGAGGAGAAUGGAAUUCCUAGUGUAGCGGUGAAAUGCGUAGAGAUUAGGAAGAACACCAGUGGCGAAGGCGAUUCUCUGGACUGUAACUGACGCUGAGGCUCGAAAGCGUGGGGAGCAAACAGGAUUAGAUACCCGCGUA